Pan troglodytes (chimpanzee) is the source of this 417-nucleotide long non-coding RNA. RefSeq lists it as uncharacterized. The record is from RefSeq and is a predicted model, not a curated record. The transcript is spliced from 2 exons. Lineage: Eukaryota; Metazoa; Chordata; Mammalia; Primates; Hominidae.
GACUUUGAGAGUCAUCAGCAUAUGGAAAAUCUCACCAGCCAGGAUGAGGUACCCAGAGAUACCAGGUGAGAAGAGAGGACUCCUGACAUGUAAAGACCAAGCGGAGGAGGCAGGCAGACAGGAAGGAGGAAGUUGAGAGACUGGAGCGUCUGUAUUAUCAUCAUCAUCAUCAUGGUUAUUCUUGUUUAGAAACAGGGUCUGUCUCUGUCACCCAGGCUGGAGUACAGUGGCCCAAUCAUGGCUUAUUGCAACCUUGACCUUCUGGGCUCAAGCCAUCCUCCUGCCUCAGCUUCCCAUGUAGCUAGGACUGCAGGCCUUUUCUGAUGCCAUUAAAAAAUGGCAGGAGCUAUCACCAGAAACCAGUGGAAAAAGGAAAAAGAGAAAAGAAAUGAACCAGUAUUCUUAAAUUGAUUUCAA